UAGUGGCGAACGGGUGAGUAACACGUGAGUAACCUGCCCCUCACUUCGGGAUAACUCCGGGAAACCGGGGCUAAUACCGGAUAUGAGCUCCUUCCGCAUGGUUGGGGUUGGAAAGAUUUAUCGGUGGGGGAUGGGCUCGCGGCCUAUCAGCUUGUUGGUGGGGUGAUGGCCUACCAAGGCUUCGACGGGUAGCCGGCCUGAGAGGGCGACCGGCCACAUUGGGACUGAGAUACGGCCCAGACUCCUACGGGAGGCAGCAGUGGGGAAUAUUGCACAAUGGGCGAAAGCCUGAUGCAGCGACGCCGCGUGAGGGAUGGAGGCCUUCGGGUUGUAAACCUCUUUCAGCAGGGAAGAAGCGCAAGUGACGGUACCUGCAGAAGAAGCGCCGGCUAACUACGUGCCAGCAGCCGCGGUAAUACGUAGGGCGCAAGCGUUGUCCGGAAUUAUUGGGCGUAAAGAGCUCGUAGGUGGUCUGUCGCGUCUGGUGUGAAAUCCCGAGGCUCAACCUCGGGCUUGCAUCGGGUACGGGCAGACUAGAGUGCGGUAGGGGAGACUGGAAUUCCUGGUGUAGCGGUGGAAUGCGCAGAUAUCAGGAGGAACACCGAUGGCGAAGGCAGGUCUCUGGGCCGCAACUGACGCUGAGGAGCGAAAGCAUGGGGAGCGAACAGGAUUAGAU
RNAcentral lists this ribosomal RNA (676 nucleotides) under uncultured bacterium. Its description in RNAcentral is "bacterial SSU rRNA". It matches the Rfam family "Bacterial small subunit ribosomal RNA", at positions 93 to 783 of the family's 1533-position model. The record is from RNAcentral.